Molecule: long non-coding RNA, 668 nt
Filed under: Capra hircus (goat)
Lineage: Eukaryota; Metazoa; Chordata; Mammalia; Artiodactyla; Bovidae
Description: lncRNA (ENSCHIG00000003940.1)
Source: RNAcentral
CUGAUGAACAGUAGCCCGUCAGUCUCCUCUGUCCCUUGGGAUUUUCCAGACAAGAAUACUGGAAUGGGUUACCAUUUAUAUACAGAAAGGUAAAAAGGAAUCUGAUCAUUGGAAUGCCCAAGGCCAGAAAAGGACAUGAUGAAUCUAUCUCAAGGAGUUAGCAGAUGCCCAAAUUGUUACUAUGAUAUCUGCUUCCAAUGACAGCCAGAUAGCCACCAAACAAGCCACCUCCACACUAAAGAAACCGCUUACUGACCACUCUGGGCUUUGUGUGCCUAAGGAUGGCAGCAGUAAUGAUCUGCCUACCAGUCCUUUAGAGCGUCCAAUACUGCCAACAGUCAAGGCCAAGCUAGCCACUAUCAUAGGACCAGUAGCUAAUGGAAGUCAGUUUACCCAUCGGAUCCCUGUCCUCCACGGAUGAUGAAACAGUACUUACACUGUGGGCCUGGUCAGGAUGUUUUCCAUGCGCUUAAACAGAGUUCCCAGAAAUGGACCAUUAUGUGUACUUUAAGCUAUAGGCUACAUCCCUUUAGUGAUUAACUUGUGGCAAAAAGAAUAAAAUACAAAGGUUAAAGUAAAAUAAAUGAAUCCGAUAUGAAAUCAGACUUAUUCCCCUUGCACAAAAUUUGAAAGCUCUAGAGUUUAUGGUAUACUCUUCUUAUCACCAG